This 105-nucleotide small nuclear RNA is filed under the name Zalophus californianus (California sea lion). Lineage: Eukaryota; Metazoa; Chordata; Mammalia; Carnivora; Otariidae. The record is from RNAcentral.
ACUCACUUCAGCAGAAUCUACACUAAAAUUGGAAUGAUGCAAAGAAGAUUAGCAUGGCCCUUGUGCAAGGAUGACAUGCAAAUUCGUAAAGCAUCCCAUCUUGUU